RNAcentral lists this transfer RNA (65 nucleotides) under Chelurotropella siamensis. RNAcentral describes it as "tRNA-His". The record is from RNAcentral. Lineage: Eukaryota; Metazoa; Arthropoda; Insecta; Hemiptera; Urostylididae.
AUUUAAUUAGUUUAAAAAAAUUAUAAUAAUUUGUGGAAUUAUAGGUACAAUAAUUGUUUUAAAUC